This 91-nucleotide ribosomal RNA is filed under the name Oryza sativa (Asian cultivated rice). RNAcentral's name for it is "partial 25S ribosomal RNA". It matches the Rfam family "Eukaryotic large subunit ribosomal RNA", at positions 1447 to 1538 of the family's 3401-position model. The record is from RNAcentral. Lineage: Eukaryota; Viridiplantae; Streptophyta; Magnoliopsida; Poales; Poaceae.
GAUCUUGGUGGUAGUAGCAAAUAUUCAAAUGAGAACUUGAAGGGCGAAGAGGAGAAAGGUUCCAUGUGAACGGCACUUGCACAUGGGUAAG